RNAcentral lists this ribosomal RNA (479 nucleotides) under uncultured bacterium. Its description in RNAcentral is "bacterial SSU rRNA". It matches the Rfam family "Bacterial small subunit ribosomal RNA", at positions 30 to 500 of the family's 1533-position model. The record is from RNAcentral.
AUUGAACGCUGGCGGCAUGCCUUACACAUGCAAGUCGAACGGCAGCACGGGAGCAAUCCUGGUGGCGAGUGGCGAACGGGUGAGUAAUAUAUCGGAACGUGCCCAGUCGUGGGGAUAACGUAGCGAAAGCUACGCUAAUACCGCAUACGAUCUAUGGAUGAAAGCGGGGGAUCGCAAGACCUCGCGCGAUUGGAGCGGCCGAUAUCAGAUUAGGUAGUUGGUGAGGUAAAGGCUCACCAAGCCGACGAUCUGUAGCUGGUCUGAGAGGACGACCAGCCACACUGGGACUGAGACACGGCCCAGACUCCUACGGGAGGCAGCAGUGGGGAAUUUUGGACAAUGGGCGCAAGCCUGAUCCAGCAAUGCCGCGUGCAGGAUGAAGGCCUCGGGUUGUAAACUGCGUUGUACGGAACGAAACGGUAGAGGCUCUAAUACAGUUUGUCUAAUGACGGUACCGUAAGAAUAAGACACCGGACUAA